Long non-coding RNA from Nicrophorus vespilloides, 709 nucleotides. RefSeq lists it as uncharacterized. Lineage: Eukaryota; Metazoa; Arthropoda; Insecta; Coleoptera; Silphidae. The transcript is spliced from 3 exons. The record is from RefSeq and is a predicted model, not a curated record.
UGUUAUUGUUACAGCUGUCAUACUGACAGUUACUGUCGCAAGUAAAAUUGAAAGGUAUUUAUUGGAUUUCCUCUUUAUUCUACAUUGUUCUGAAUGCAAACUUAAUGAGGAACAUGCUCCAUUGCCUUCUUCUUCUAUUUCCUGGUAUGGAAAACCUUUCUCUGAACAUCACAUUUCACAUCGGGCAAGUACUAAUGGAACAUGUCAGCAACCAUUGAUCACUAAAGUUCUUCGUCUUCAGAAAACAUACAACAGAAACUGGAGCUAAGUAGGGACAAUUCUUCAAAUCUUUUACUUAGAACAGUGUCUUCAUAUAAGAAUGCAUUAAUUGUGGAGCUGAUAGCAACAUGCCUCUGAUGUAUAGUUGAUGACCUCAAGUUCCCCAGAAAGUGAAAAGCAUUCUUUACUAGCAGUUUUCAUUUGCAAAUAGUGGAAAUCUUAACUGCUGAAUGUAACCAUAAAUAUUACUUCAUUAAGGAGAUGGAUAACAACUAUGAACCCUAUAGCAACCUUGAAUCUAUUGUUGCUUUAUACAUGAUUCUUAGAGACUGAAAAACUUGCAAGAUGCAUUGAAUAUACUGGAAAAGCAAAAAUGUUUAUAUUCAUCAAAUUCCCAGAAAAAGGCUAAAAAUCAACAUUAAUGUCCAAAAUUCUUCUGAGAGUUGGUGUAUACGAAAAUACAAGUCAUUUUCGAAAGUGUUCUCCAAAC